AGCUGGUCCAAAGGUAGUAGUUAUCUCAGUUGAUUGCUCACAGUCAGUUAUGGAUUGAACUCCUUGUUCUACUCUUUCCCCCUACUCACUACUGCACUUGACUGGUCUUAA
RNAcentral lists this Y RNA (111 nucleotides) under Propithecus coquereli (Coquerel's sifaka). RNAcentral's name for it is "Y RNA (ENSPCOG00000005499.1)". It matches the Rfam family "Y RNA". Rfam says of the family: Y RNAs are components of the Ro ribonucleoprotein particle (Ro RNP), in association with Ro60 and La proteins. The Y RNAs and Ro60 and La proteins are well conserved, but the function of the Ro RNP is not known. In humans the RNA component can be one of four small RNAs -- hY1, hY3, hY4 and hY5. The record is from Rfam by way of RNAcentral. Lineage: Eukaryota; Metazoa; Chordata; Mammalia; Primates; Indriidae.